This 75-nucleotide transfer RNA is filed under the name Microvirga sp. 3-52. RNAcentral describes it as "tRNA-Met". It matches the Rfam family "tRNA". From Rfam's summary of the family: Transfer RNA (tRNA) molecules are approximately 80 nucleotides in length. Their secondary structure includes four short double-helical elements and three loops (D, anti-codon, and T loops). The record is from RNAcentral. Lineage: Bacteria; Pseudomonadati; Pseudomonadota; Alphaproteobacteria; Hyphomicrobiales; Methylobacteriaceae. RNAcentral also lists the same sequence under 5 other names.
CGCGGGGUGGAGCAGUGGUAGCUCGUCGGGCUCAUAAUCCGAAGGUCACAGGUUCAAAUCCUGUCCCCGCAACCA